RNAcentral lists this ribosomal RNA (253 nucleotides) under uncultured bacterium. RNAcentral's name for it is "partial 16S ribosomal RNA". It matches the Rfam family "Bacterial small subunit ribosomal RNA", at positions 524 to 776 of the family's 1533-position model. The record is from RNAcentral.
GACAGAGGCCUCAAGCGUUAGGCGGAAUCACUGGGCUUAAAGGGUGCGUAGGCGGCGCGGUAAGUCGGGUGUGAAAUCUCGGAGCUUAACUCCGAAACUGCAUUCGAUACUGCCGUGCUUGAGGACUGGAGAGGAGACUGGAAUUUACGGUGUAGCGGUGAAAUGCGUAGAUAUCGUAAGGAAGACCAGUGGCGAAGGCGGGUCUCUGGACAGUUCCUGACGCUGAGGCACGAAGGUCAGGGGAGCAAACGGG